GGAGGAUCAUCAGAAGGGGAGUAUGUGAACAGUCGUAACUUACAGUGGGCCCAUGGGAAGGCUGGUGAGGAUAGGGUUCAUGUUGUGCUUUCUGAAGAGCAAGGAUGGUUGUUUAUUGGGAUAUAUGAUGGCUUUAGUGGUCCAGAUGCACCGGAUUUUCUCAUGAGCCAUCUUUAUAGAGCUAUAGAUAAGGAAUUAGAAGGGGUGCUAUGGGAUUAUGAAGAUAAAUCUGUAAAUGGUCCAAUAGAACCUGAACUUUCCAAGUGCAUAAAUGCUGAGGCUGGUUCCGAGUGUGGGAAGGAAAACCAGCCAAAUUUGAGUCAAGUAACUUCUCAUGGUUUAGAAGAAUCAUGCAAUCCAGUAGUUUUCAGGGAUCAAUCUUCGAAUUGUGAAAUAGUAGAGGAACGUGAUGAUGAUGUUAGUAGCAGUCAA
RNAcentral lists this unclassified non-coding RNA (432 nucleotides) under Hevea brasiliensis (rubber tree). Lineage: Eukaryota; Viridiplantae; Streptophyta; Magnoliopsida; Malpighiales; Euphorbiaceae. The record is from RNAcentral.